This 465-nucleotide ribosomal RNA is filed under the name uncultured bacterium. Its description in RNAcentral is "partial 16S ribosomal RNA". It matches the Rfam family "Bacterial small subunit ribosomal RNA", at positions 338 to 795 of the family's 1533-position model. The record is from RNAcentral.
CCUACGGGUGGCAGCAGUGGGGAAUUUUGGACAAUGGGCGCAAGCCUGAUCCAGCUAUUCCGCGUGUGGGAUGACGGCCUUCGGGUUGUAAACCACUUUUGUAGAGCACGAAAAGUCUGUUGCUAAUACCGAUCUAUGAUGACGGUACUCUAAGAAUAAGCACCGGCUAACUACGUGCCAGCGGCCGCUGUAAUACGUAGGGUGCGAGCGUUAAUCGGAAUUACUGGGCGUAAAGGGUGUGCAGGCGGUUUUGCAAGAUGGAUGUGAAAGCCCCGGGCUUAAACUGGGAAAGCCAUACAUGACUGCAAGAGUAGAGUGCGUCAGAGGGGGGUGGAAUUCCAAGUGUAGCAGUGAAAUGCGUAGAUAUUUGGAAGAACACCGAUGGCGAAGGCAGCCCCCUGGGACGCAACUGACGCUCAUACACGAAAGCGUGGGGAGCAAACAGGAUUAGAUACCCUUGUAGUC